AUUGAACGCUGGCGGCAGGCCUAACACAUGCAAGUCCAGCGGAUGAAGGGAGCUUGCUCCUGGAUUCAGCGGCGGACGGGUGAGUAAUGCCUAGGAAUCUGCCUGGUAGUGGGGGAUAACGUCCGGAAACGGGCGCUAAUACCGCAUACGUCCUGAGGGAGAAAGUGGGGGAUCUUCGGACCUCACGCUAUCAGAUGAGCCUAGGUCGGAUUAGCUAGUUGGUGGGGUAAAGGCCUACCAAGGCGACGAUCCGUAACUGGUCUGAGAGGAUGAUCAGUCACACUGGAACUGAGACACGGUCCAGACUCCUACGGGAGGCAGCAGUGGGGAAUAUUGGACAAAGGGCGAAAGCCUGAUCCAGCCAUGCCGCGUGUGUGAAGAAGGUCUUCGGAUUGUAAAGCACUUUAAGUUGGGAGGAAGGGCAGUAAGUUAAUACCUUGCUGUUUUGACGUUACCAACAGAAUAAGCACCGGCUAACUUCGUG
This 484-nucleotide ribosomal RNA is filed under the name uncultured bacterium. RNAcentral's name for it is "partial 16S ribosomal RNA". It matches the Rfam family "Bacterial small subunit ribosomal RNA", at positions 30 to 507 of the family's 1533-position model. The record is from RNAcentral.